GGUGCAGGCGGCUCUUCAAGUCGGGUGUAAAAGUCCCCAGCCUAACUGGGUGAAGGCACCCGAUACUGUUGAGCUAGAGGACAGCAGGGGAAGGUGGAAUUCCCGGUGUAGUGGUGAAAUGCGUAGAUAUCGGGAGGAACGCCAGUAGUGAAGACGACCUUCUGGGCUGUUUCUGACGCUGAGGCCCGAAAGCGUGGGGAGCGAACAGGAUUAGAUACCCUGGUAGUCCACGCCGUAAACCAUGGAUACUAGAUAUGGGGGGUAUCGACCCCCUCCGUGUCAAAGCUUACGCGUUAAGUGUCCCGCCUGGGAAGUACGGCCGCAAGGCUAAA
RNAcentral lists this ribosomal RNA (332 nucleotides) under uncultured bacterium. RNAcentral's name for it is "bacterial SSU rRNA". It matches the Rfam family "Bacterial small subunit ribosomal RNA", at positions 568 to 898 of the family's 1533-position model. The record is from RNAcentral.